GGAGGCGGAUGGAGGAUCGCGCGUGUACCUGGUCUCUGGCGAGGUACACGGGAGGAAAGUCCGGGCUCCAUAGGGCAGGGAGGUCGUUAACGACGACCCGGGGUGACUCGAGGGAAAGCGCAACAGAAACGAUACCGCCCGUGGCCGUUGAUCUCGGCGCCUUCGAGAGACGGCGUCGAAGCAGGCGCGGGUAAGGGUGAAAUCGUGGGGUAAGAGCCCACGCGCGACUGCCGGGUGACCGGCGGCGGAGCAAGCCCCUCCCGGAGCAAGCUCAAAUAGGGACACGGUCGAGAGCGGCCCGCUCGAGACCCUUCGGGGUCCGGUGUCUGGGUGGAGUGCACGAGCGGCGCAGCAAUGCGUCGCCUAGAUGAAUGAUCCUUGCCGGCCGGAGGGAGUUUCCUCCGGUCGGAACAGAACCCGGCUUACAGUCCGCCCCGGAGG
This 441-nucleotide RNase P RNA is filed under the name Deltaproteobacteria bacterium. RNAcentral's name for it is "RNase P RNA component class A". It matches the Rfam family "Bacterial RNase P class A". Rfam says of the family: Ribonuclease P (RNase P) is a ubiquitous endoribonuclease, found in archaea, bacteria and eukarya as well as chloroplasts and mitochondria. Its best characterised activity is the generation of mature 5'-ends of tRNAs by cleaving the 5'-leader elements of precursor-tRNAs. Cellular RNase Ps are ribonucleoproteins. Lineage: Bacteria; Pseudomonadati; Myxococcota; Myxococcia. The record is from RNAcentral.